RNAcentral lists this ribosomal RNA (255 nucleotides) under uncultured bacterium. RNAcentral's name for it is "partial 16S ribosomal RNA". It matches the Rfam family "Bacterial small subunit ribosomal RNA", at positions 524 to 776 of the family's 1533-position model. The record is from RNAcentral.
UACGAAGGGGGCUAGCGUUUGCUCGGAAUCACUGGGCGUAAAAGGGUGCGUAGGCGGGUCUUUAAGUCAGGGGUGAAAUCCUGGAGCUCAACUCCAGAACUGCCUUUGAUACUGAGGAUCUUGAGUUCGGGAGAGGUGAGUGGAACUGCGAGUGUAGAGGUGAAAUUCGUAGAUAUUCGCAAGAACACCAGUGGCGAAGGCGGCUCACUGGCCCGAUACUGACGCUGAGGCACGAAAGCGUGGGGAGCAAACAGG